This 545-nucleotide ribosomal RNA is filed under the name Starmerella cf. bombicola UWOPS 00-227.2. RNAcentral describes it as "LSU rRNA". It matches the Rfam family "Eukaryotic large subunit ribosomal RNA", at positions 1 to 648 of the family's 3401-position model. Lineage: Eukaryota; Fungi; Ascomycota; Dipodascomycetes; Dipodascales; Trichomonascaceae. The record is from RNAcentral.
UUUGGCCCCCAAUCAAGCAAGGCUACCCGCUGAACUUAAGCAUAUCAAUAAGCGGAGGAAAAGAAACCAACAGGGAUUGCCCUAGUAACGGCGAGUGAACAGGCAAAAGCUCAGAUUUGAAAGCCUCUCGGGGCAUUGUAUUCUGAAGCCUUGAUUCUGAGAACCGGUGCCUAAGUCUUCUGGAAAGGAGCGCCAUGGAGGGUGAUAGCCCCGUCCGGCACUGACCUCAUUGUAGAAUCUUGGCGUGGAGUCGAGUUGUUUGGGAAUGCAGCUCAAAUGGGUGGUAUGCUCCAUCUAAAGCUAAAUAUCUGCGAGAGACCGAUAGCGAACAAGUACUGUGAAGGAAAGAUGAAAAGAACUUUGAAAAGAGAGUGAAAAAGUACGUGAAAUUGUUGAAAUGGAAGGGUAGGCCGCUAACCACGUAGAGCCGUGUUCGAGGGGAGGAUAAAAGCUGUAGAAUGUAGCUCCUCGGAGUGUUAUAGCUGCAAUGCAUACUCCCACUUGGGCGCGAGGACCUAAGGCUCUGCUAAAUGGUGGUCUACCAC